RNAcentral lists this ribosomal RNA (517 nucleotides) under uncultured bacterium. Its description in RNAcentral is "bacterial SSU rRNA". It matches the Rfam family "Archaeal small subunit ribosomal RNA", at positions 345 to 828 of the family's 1478-position model. The record is from RNAcentral.
AACCUCCGCAAUGUGAGAAAUCGCGACGGGGGGAUCCCAAGUGCCAUUCUUAACGGGAUGGCUUUUCAUUAGUGUAAAGAGCUUUUGGAAUAAGGGCUGGGCAAGACCGGUGCCAGCCGCCGCGGUAACACCGGCAGCUCUAGUGGUAGCAGUUUUUAUUGGGCCUAAAGCGUCCGUAGCCGGUUUAAUAAGUCUCUGGUGAAAUCCUGUAGCUUAACUGUGGGAAUAGCUGGAGAUACUAUUAGACUUGAGACCGGGAGAGGUUAGAGGUACUCCCAGGGUAGAGGUGAAAUUCUGUAAUCCUGGGAGGACCGCCUGUUGCGAAGGCGUCUAACUGGAACGGUUCUGACGGUGAGGGACGAAAGUUAGGGCGCGAACCGGAUUAGAUACCCGGUAGUCCUAACUGUAAACGAUGCGGACUUGGUGUUGGGGUGGUUUUGAGCUGCUCCAGUGCCGAAGGGAAGCUGUUAAGUCCGCGCCCUGGAAGGUACGGUCGGUCAACGAACGUGAAACGUUA